AAGUCGUAACAAGGUUUCCGUAGGUGAACCUGCGGAAGGAUCAUUAAUGAUGUUUAUUUUUCUAUGUUGGGAAAUUGUCUGCUGUUGUGGGGAUAUUUUUGUCCCCGCGCUAGUCAACGUGAUCUUUAUUCUAGUCUGACUUUUAUAUUUAUAAUAAAAGACAACUUUUAGCAACGGAUCUCUUGGCUCUC
Molecule: unclassified non-coding RNA, 191 nt
Filed under: fungal sp.
Lineage: Eukaryota; Fungi
Description: partial internal transcribed spacer region
Rfam family: Eukaryotic small subunit ribosomal RNA (bases 1-46)
Source: RNAcentral